RNAcentral lists this ribosomal RNA (253 nucleotides) under uncultured bacterium. Its description in RNAcentral is "partial 16S ribosomal RNA". It matches the Rfam family "Bacterial small subunit ribosomal RNA", at positions 524 to 776 of the family's 1533-position model. The record is from RNAcentral.
UACGUAGGGGGCGAGCGUUGUCCGGAUUUAUUGGGCGUAAAGGGCGCGUAGGCGGUCACGCACGUCCGUUGUGAAAUCGCUCGGCUCAACUGGGCGGGGUCAGCGGAUACGGCGUGGCUGGAGCAAGCUAGGGGGCAAUGGAAUUCCCGGUGUAGUGGUGGAAUGCGUAGAUAUCGGGAGGAACACCAGUGGCGAAGGCGGUUGCCUGGAGCUUUGCUGACGCUGAUGCGCGAAAGCGUGGGGAGCGAUCCGG